RNAcentral lists this transfer RNA (71 nucleotides) under Cordylochernes scorpioides. RNAcentral describes it as "tRNA-Gly". Lineage: Eukaryota; Metazoa; Arthropoda; Arachnida; Pseudoscorpiones; Chernetidae. The record is from RNAcentral.
GGCAUCGGCCGGGAAUCGAACCCUGGCCGCCCGCGUGGUAGGCGAGCAUUCUACCACUGAACCACCGAUGC